This is a long non-coding RNA of Myotis lucifugus (little brown bat), 557 nucleotides long. RefSeq lists it as uncharacterized. NCBI's taxonomy places the organism in Eukaryota, Metazoa, Chordata, Mammalia, Chiroptera, Vespertilionidae. The record is from RefSeq and is a predicted model, not a curated record. The transcript has 2 exons.
CCUUCCUCUCUUAAAAAAUCAAUAAAAUACAUUUUAUUUUUUUAAAAAAGAUGAUUUCCCCUGCCCGCUUGUGGGUAGCAUGUCCUGCUGUCCAUGGAGGCGGCCGCUUUAGCACAGCCCCUGAGCGUGGCGCCGAGGAGCGUGCCCAGGCAGGGUGGUGUGCAGUGCCCACCCCACUGACAACCCCGCUGGCAUGCAGGGGCUCAGACAUGGAUUUUUCUUUUUCUUCUGAGAUUUGGAGACACAAUGAGAUCAUCUUGGCUUUGGCUGUGCUGGGGACCCUGCCGCCAGACCAGAGAACAGUGCAGGAAGCAGUGUGUGGGAGCGCAUCUUGGAAGUUGUGCUGCCGACGCUGAGCCAUCCGUCAGGGCCGAGGGAGAAGCAGCCGGUUCAGAACCAUAGCAGAACCAGAACUGGAUCUGGAGCCACCCAGUCAUCUUACCUGGAAACGGUUGAAGUUCCUGGUUUCCUCCCGUCCUUUCUGCGGGGCCUUGAUGUGUCUGCUUCCGUGCGAUCGGGCUCUCCUACCGUAAAUACACGCCUGUGGCUCCCCUUUU